This 465-nucleotide ribosomal RNA is filed under the name Vreelandella stevensii. RNAcentral describes it as "partial 16S ribosomal RNA". It matches the Rfam family "Bacterial small subunit ribosomal RNA", at positions 338 to 795 of the family's 1533-position model. The record is from RNAcentral. Lineage: Bacteria; Pseudomonadati; Pseudomonadota; Gammaproteobacteria; Oceanospirillales; Halomonadaceae.
CCUACGGGUGGCAGCAGUGGGGAAUAUUGGACAAUGGGGGCAACCCUGAUCCAGCCAUGCCGCGUGUGUGAAGAAGGCCCUCGGGUUGUAAAGCACUUUCAGUGAGGAAGAACGCCUGGUGGUUAAUACCCAUCAGGAAAGACAUCACUCACAGAAGAAGCACCGGCUAACUCCGUGCCAGCAGCCGCGGUAAUACGGAGGGUGCGAGCGUUAAUCGGAAUUACUGGGCGUAAAGCGCGCGUAGGUGGCUUGAUAAGCCGGUUGUGAAAGCCCCGGGCUCAACCUGGGAACGGCAUCCGGAACUGUCAAGCUAGAGUGCAGGAGAGGAAGGUAGAAUUCCCGGUGUAGCGGUGAAAUGCGUAGAGAUCGGGAGGAAUACCAGUGGCGAAGGCGGCCUACUGGACUGUCACUGACACUGAGGUGCGAAAGCGUGGGUAGCAAACAGGAUUAGAUACCCGAGUAGUC